AGAUAACUGUGGCGUCAGCUAUAGAUGAACGUACUUAGAUAAGGACGAAACUUGGCACACAAGUGUAUAAUAACGCGUGACAUUGUGGGGUUGAGUAUAUGAUAUAUGUAAUGUACUCUUGCAAGAGUGUUUGUUUUUUCUUUCGUUUCUUGUUUUUAGCUCGUAUAGACACCUAUAAUACAGAUAAUAAAACGCGCAGUAAAUAUUCGUUCAAACGAUUUGUUUCACGGG
This is a non-coding RNA of Cinara cedri, 231 nucleotides long. Lineage: Eukaryota; Metazoa; Arthropoda; Insecta; Hemiptera; Aphididae. The record is from the annotation of a GenBank genome assembly.